AUUGAACGCUGGCGGCAUGCCUUACACAUGCAAGUCGAACGGCAGCACGGGAGCAAUCCUGGUGGCGAGUGGCGAACGGGUGAGUAAAGUAUCGGAACGUGCCCAGUCGUGGGGGAUAACGUAGCGAAAGGUACGCUAAUACCGCAUACGAGCUAUGGAUGAAAGCGGGGGAUCGCAAGACCGCGCGCGAUUGGAGCUGCCGAUAUCAGAUUAGGUAGUUGGUGGGGUAAAGGCCCACCAAGCCGACGAUCUGUAGCUGGUCUGAGAGGACGACCAGCCACACUGGGACUGAGACACGGCCCAGACUCCUACGGGAGGCAGCAGUGGGGAAUUUUGGACAAUGGGCGAAAGCUUGAUCCAGCCAUACCGCGUGCAGGAUGAAGGCCUUCGGGUUGUAAACUGCUUUUGUACGGAACGAAAAGGACUGCCCUAAUACGGUGGUCCCAUGACGGUACCGUAAGAAUAAGCACCGGCUAACUACGUGCCAGCCGCCGCGGUAA
Molecule: ribosomal RNA, 500 nt
Filed under: uncultured bacterium
Lineage: Bacteria
Description: partial 16S ribosomal RNA
Rfam family: Bacterial small subunit ribosomal RNA
Source: RNAcentral